GAUUUCUGGUUUGGUGCGCCUGACCCGCCACGGUUUCGUGUGUGAGUGUUGGGUCGUGCCUGCCAUCCUUCUAGAGAACGUCUCUACUCUUCAUUGAGCCGGAGGCGCCAUCUAGAUCUUUUACUUUGAAAAAAUUAGAGUGUUUAAAGCAGGCAUGUUGCUAUGAAUACAUUAGCAUGGAAUAAUAACGUAGGACUUCGGUUCUAUUUUGUUGGUUUCUAGGACUGAAGUAAUGAUUGAUAGGGAUAGUUGGGGGUGCUAGUAUUCAGUGGCCAGAGGUGAAAUUCUCGGAUUCACUGAAGACUAACUUAUGCGAAAGCAUU
Molecule: ribosomal RNA, 323 nt
Filed under: uncultured Bodomorpha
Lineage: Eukaryota; Cercozoa; Glissomonadida
Description: SSU rRNA
Rfam family: Eukaryotic small subunit ribosomal RNA (bases 106-323)
Source: RNAcentral